AACGAACGCUGGCGGCAGGCCUAACACAUGCAAGUCGAGCGAACUCUUCGGAGUUAGCGGCGGACGGGUGAGUAACGCGUGGGAAUAUGCCCUUUGGUACGGAACAACAGUUGGAAACGGCUGCUAAUACCGUAUGUGCCCUACGGGGGAAAGAUUUAUCGCCAAAGGAUUAGCCCGCGUUGGAUUAGGUAGUUGGUGGGGUAACGGCCCACCAAGCCGACGAUCCAUAGCUGGUUCGAGAGGAUGACCAGCCACACUGGGACUGAGACACGGCCCAGACUCCUACGGGAGGCAGCAGUGGGGAAUCAUAGACAAUGGGCGCAAGCCUGAUCUUGCCAUGCCGCGUGAACGAUGAAGGCCUUAGGGUUGUAAAGUUCUUUCAUCAGGGAAGAUAAUGACGGUACCUGAAGAAGAAGCCCCGGCUAACUCCG
RNAcentral lists this ribosomal RNA (431 nucleotides) under uncultured Paracoccaceae bacterium. Its description in RNAcentral is "bacterial SSU rRNA". It matches the Rfam family "Bacterial small subunit ribosomal RNA", at positions 29 to 505 of the family's 1533-position model. The record is from RNAcentral. Lineage: Bacteria; Pseudomonadati; Pseudomonadota; Alphaproteobacteria; Rhodobacterales; Paracoccaceae.